UGGAGAGGUGCCAUCGGUCCCCCUCGGCGCCAAAAUCCCUUGGAACGGGGUAUCGGAGAAGGUGAGAAUCCUGUCAAGCGCCGGAGUGGGACCGUACGAUGUGCUCUCGUAGAGUCGGGCUGCUUGGGAGUGCAGCCUGAAGCGGGUGGUAAAUUCCAUCUAAAGCUAAAUACUGGCGGGAGACCGAUAGCGAACAAGUACCGUGAGGGAAAGAUGCAAAGAACUUUGAAAAGAGAGUUAAAGAGUGCUUGAAAUUGGCAGGAGGAAACCCGGUUGCGCGUGGCAUUUGGCGUGGUCGACUCAGCCGCGCGCGGAGAUCUGUAGGGGACCUAACGGCCUCGUGGUCAGCGCGCGCGGUGCACUUCGGCCGCGUCGGUCAGCCGCGUUUCUGCGCGGCCCAUACGGCCGCGGGCAGGGCUUCGGCGCCGCCUGCGGUUUGGGGGUCGCGCGGGAUCCCGGCUGAUGCGCACGGGCGCAACCGACCCGUCUAGAAACACGGACCAAGGAGUCUGACGCGUGUGC
Molecule: ribosomal RNA, 522 nt
Filed under: Phaeocystis globosa
Lineage: Eukaryota; Haptophyta; Phaeocystales; Phaeocystaceae
Description: partial large subunit ribosomal RNA
Rfam family: Eukaryotic large subunit ribosomal RNA
Source: RNAcentral